Molecule: ribosomal RNA, 253 nt
Filed under: uncultured bacterium
Lineage: Bacteria
Description: partial 16S ribosomal RNA
Rfam family: Bacterial small subunit ribosomal RNA
Source: RNAcentral
UACGGAGGGUGCAAACGUUGCUCGGAAUCAUUGGGCGUAAAGCGCACGUAGGCGGCCUGUUAAGUCGGGUGUGAAAUCCCUGGGCUCAACCCAGGAAGUGCACUCGAAACUGGCAGGCUUGAGUACUGAAGAGGGUCGCGGAAUUCCCGGUGUAGAGGUGAAAUUCGUAGAUAUCGGAAGGAACACCUGUGGCGAAAGCGGCUCACUGGACCAUUACUGACGCUGAGGCACGAAAGCUAGGGGAGCAAACAGG